AGGACGAACGCUGGCGGCGUGCCUAACACAUGCAAGUCGAACGGUGAACCGGGCUUCGGCCCGGGGAUCAGUGGCGAACGGGUGCGUAACACGUGGGCAACCUGCCCCCGACUCUGGGAUAACCCCGGGAAACCGGAGCUAAUACCGGAUACUCCGACCGAGCCUCAUGGCUUGGCCGGCAAAGGUCCGCCGGUCGGGGAUGGGCCCGCGGCCUAUCAGCUUGUUGGUGGGGUAACGGCCUACCAAGGCUUCGACGGGUAGCUGGUCUGAGAGGACGACCAGCCACACUGGGACUGAGACACGGCCCAGACUCCUGCGGGAGGCAGCAGUGGGGAAUCUUGCGCAAUGGGCGAAAGCCUGACGCAGCAACGCCGCGUGGGGGAUGAAGGCUCUCGGGUUGUAAACCCCUGUUGCCCGGGACGAACUUCUGCUUUCGAGCAGAUUGACGGUACCGGGUGAGGAAGCACCGGCUAACUCUGUGCCAGCAGCCGC
RNAcentral lists this ribosomal RNA (492 nucleotides) under uncultured bacterium. Its description in RNAcentral is "SSU rRNA". It matches the Rfam family "Bacterial small subunit ribosomal RNA", at positions 26 to 518 of the family's 1533-position model. The record is from RNAcentral.